AGAGUUUGAUCCUGGCUCAGGACGAACGCUGGCGGCGUGCUUAACACAUGCAAGUCGAACGAGGUCCACUGAGUAGCAAUACAAGGGAAGACCUAGUGGCGAACGGGUGAGUAUCACGUGAGAAACCAACCCCGGUCUCUGGGAUAACAGUUGGAAACGACUGCUAAUACUGGAUGUCGUCGUACCCUCGCAUGGGGGGAUGACGAAAGGGUUACCGGAUCGGGACGGUCUCGCGGCCUAUCAGCUUGUUGGGGAGGUAACGGCUCACCAAGGCUUCGACGGGUAGCUGGUCUGAGAGGAUGAUCAGCCACACUGGGACUGAGACACGGCCCAGACUCCUACGGGAGGCAGCAGUGGGGAAUCUUGCGCAAUGGGCGAAAGCCUGACGCAGCAACGCCGCGUGCGGGAAGAAGGCUUUCGGGCUGUAAACCGCUUUCAGCAGGAACGAAAAUGGCGGUACCUGCAGAAGAAGGAGCGGCCAACUAUGUGCCAGCAGCCGCGGUGAUACAUAGGCUUCAAGCGUUGUCCGGAUUUAUUGGGCGUAAAGAGUUCGUAGGCGGUCGAGUAAGUCGGGUGUGAAAAUUCUGGGCUCAACCCAGAGACGCCACCCGAUACUGCUUAACUUGAGUUCGAUAGGGGAGUGGGGAAUUCCUAGUGUAGCGGUGAAAUGCGCAGAUAUUAGGAGGAACACCGGUGGCGAAGGCGCCACUCUGGAUCGACACUGACGCUGAGGAACGAAAGCAUGGGUAGCAAACAGGAUUAGA
Molecule: ribosomal RNA, 764 nt
Filed under: uncultured bacterium
Lineage: Bacteria
Description: bacterial SSU rRNA
Rfam family: Bacterial small subunit ribosomal RNA
Source: RNAcentral